CACCCAGGACGGUGGAUCACUCGGCUCGUGGGUCGAUGAAGAACGCAGCAAAUUGCGCGUCGACAUGUGAACUGCAGGACACAUGAACAUCGACGUUUCGAAAGCACAUUGCGGUCCAUGGAUUCCGUUCCCGGGCCACGUCUGGCUGAGGGUCG
This 155-nucleotide ribosomal RNA is filed under the name Schistocerca americana (American grasshopper). Its description in RNAcentral is "5.8S ribosomal RNA". It matches the Rfam family "5.8S ribosomal RNA". From Rfam's summary of the family: 5.8S ribosomal RNA (5.8S rRNA) is a component of the large subunit of the eukaryotic ribosome. It is transcribed by RNA polymerase I as part of the 45S precursor that also contains 18S and 28S rRNA. Lineage: Eukaryota; Metazoa; Arthropoda; Insecta; Orthoptera; Acrididae. The record is from RNAcentral.